This 815-nucleotide ribosomal RNA is filed under the name uncultured bacterium. RNAcentral's name for it is "bacterial SSU rRNA". It matches the Rfam family "Bacterial small subunit ribosomal RNA", at positions 636 to 1450 of the family's 1533-position model. The record is from RNAcentral.
UNUGACUUGAGUGCAGAAGGGGAGAGUGGAAUUCCAUGUGUAGCGGUGAAAUGCGUAGAUAUAUGGAGGANCACCAGUGGCGAAAGCGGCUCUCUGGUCUGUCACUGACGCUGAGGCUNGAAAGCGUGGGUAGCGAACAGGAUUAGAUACCCUGGUAGUNCACGCCGUAAACGAUGAGUGCUAGGUGUUAGGCCCUUUCCGGGGCUUAGUGCCGGAGCUAACGCAAUAAGCACUCCGCCUGGGGAGUACGACCGCAAGGUUGAAACUCAAAGGAAUUGACGGGGGCCCGCACAAGCGGUGGAGCAUGUGGUUUAAUUCGAAGCAACGCGAAGAACCUUACCAGGUCUUGACAUCCCGAUGCUAUUCUUAGAGAUAGGAAGUUACUUCGGUACAUCGGAGACAGGUGGUGCAUGGUUGUCGUCAGCUCGUGUCGUGAGAUGUUGGGUUAAGUCCCGCAACGAGCGCAACCCUUAUUGUUAGUUGCCAUCAUUAAGUUGGGCACUCUAGCGAGACUGCCGGUAAUAAACCGGAGGAAGGUGGGGAUGACGUCAAAUCAUCAUGCCCCUUAUGACCUGGGCUACACACGUGCUACAAUGGUCGGUACAACGAGUUGCGAGCCGGUGACGGCAAGCUAAUCUCUGAAAGCCGAUCUCAGUUCGGAUUGGAGGCUGCAACUCGCCUCCAUGAAGUCGGAAUCGCUAGUAAUCGCGGAUCAGCACGCCGCGGUGAAUACGUUCCCGGGCCUUGUACACACCGCCCGUCACACCACGAGAGUUUGUAACACCCGAAGUCGGUGAGGUAACCUUUUAGGGGCC